This 247-nucleotide ribosomal RNA is filed under the name uncultured bacterium. RNAcentral describes it as "partial 16S ribosomal RNA". It matches the Rfam family "Bacterial small subunit ribosomal RNA", at positions 523 to 769 of the family's 1533-position model. The record is from RNAcentral.
AUACAGAGGGUGCAAGCGUUGUUCGGAAUUAUUGGGCGUAAAGCGCGUGUAGGCGGUUUGAUAAGUCUGAUGUGAAAGCCCCGGGCUCAACCUGGGAAGUGCAUUGGAAACUGGGAGACUUGAGUACGGGAGAGGAGAGUGGAAUUCCUAGUGUAGGAGUGAAAUCCGUAGAUAUUAGGAGGAACACCGGUGGCGAAGGCGGCUCUCUGGACCGAUACUGACGCUGAGACGCGAAAGCGUGGGUAGC